Molecule: non-coding RNA, 12104 nt
Organism: Solanum lycopersicum (tomato)
Lineage: Eukaryota; Viridiplantae; Streptophyta; Magnoliopsida; Solanales; Solanaceae
Source: RefSeq, a predicted model, not a curated record
UCGAUACAUCACAUAAUUAUCUAUACAACAUUAAUACACAUUUAUAUAAUAUUGAUUCACGUUUAUACACCAUUUAUGGAAUAUUAGUUCGUUACAUAAUUAAUCUAUACAAUAUCGAUACAUAUUUAUACACAUUUAUACAAUAUCAAUACAUGAAAAAAGUUGCAUGUUAAAAGAACAACUAACGCUCUAUUACUAAUCCCCUUUUGUACACUUUUUCAAAUUUAUGUACAAAUGAUUUGUGUAUCGGUUAUACAUCCAUCUUAUUUUAUUUUAUAUUUUAAUGAAAAACUCUAUAGCAAAGAGAAAAAUCAAUCCCUAGAAAAUGAUUUUCUAAUCCCUAAAAGACAAUAGCGACCAAAAAAAAUUAAUCAUCAUCCCAUUUAUGUAGCCUCUACCACGGAAGGUGUUAAAAGAAGUUAAUGAAUAUUAGUUAGUUAAAUAACUAACACUUCAAAAGUUAGUUAGUAAGUCUAUUUUGUAUUUUCCAGAUUAGUAGUUAAACUAGUUUGUUGCCUCGUUUAUCGUGCUGAUAAAAAUUAGUUAGUAUCCUUUUUCUGCUUCUGAUUGCUAUAUAAGCAGUGAAUAUGUAAGGAGUUUAACAGAUCAAUACAAAAUUUCUUCUUCUCUCUUCUUCAUGUUCUAGCUUUCUCUCUAAAGGUUCUUUAAUGGAAUUGUGAGCUUGAAUGCUCACUACCUUUUGUUCAUGGUAUCAGAGCAAAGUAGUAUGUGGAGUUAGUUGAGUUUAGAUCUCUACUAGUUGGUGAAAUUCGUAGCUUAAAGAUCUGUAGAAAUGGUGGGAGUGAAGAUAGAUCAGAAUGAUCCUUUAUACAUUGGAAAUUCAGACAAUUCAAGUGUUGUGUUUCCAAUUAAGUUGAUUGGAUCUGAGAAUUAGGGAGUUUGGAGUAGGGCGAUGAGGAUUGCACUACUAGGGAAGAGAAAGUAUGGUUUUGUAACUGGUGCAUGUACCAGAGCUUUGUACAGAGAAGAACUGCAUGAGCAAUGGAAAACUUGCAAUGCGAUUGUGUUGUCUUUGCUGAUGAACACAGUUAGUGAAGAUCUUCUUAGUGGUAUCGUCUAUGCCACAAAUUCUUUCUCAGUGUGGAAUGAUCUCAAGGAAAGAUUUGACACGGUAAAUCGAGUAAGGAUCUAUCAAUUACAUAGAGAUAUCACCACUCUUUCACAAGUUACAAAUACUAUAUCUCAUUACUUCUCAAACAUAAAAAUACUGUGGAAUGAAUACGAUGCUAUAGUUCCAAAUCCAUGUGGUGCUUAUCCUCAAUCGAAGGUAUAUAAUGAUCAUCUGGAGCAGAUAAGAUUGAUUCAAUUUCUGAGUGGCCUAAAUGAAUCAUAUGAUCAGGCUCGCAGACAAAUACUACUUAAAGGGACUACACCAUCUAUGAAUCAAGCUUAUGUUAUGAUUAUAGAUGCUGAGAUCCAACACUCAAGUUAUAUGCUAAUGGAAUUGAGAAGCCAAGUUUUAUGACGAUGAAUGUAAACAGGAAUCAGGGAACUGGAAAGGAACACUACAAAGGGAAGAAGUGUGAUUACUAUCAUUUCCUUGGUCACACCAAGGAUAACUGCUACAAGUUGAUUGGAUAUCCAAGUGACUGGAAACAAAGGAAGAAACCAGGCUAUGGAAAUGGGAAUGGAAACAUGAGAAAUGGUACAAGACAAAUCAAUUCAAUGGCUAUAAAGGACAAAGUUCAAGAAAUACUGGUGGAUACGGAAGAGGAUAUCAGUCAGCAAACAAUAUCUCUAAUGACCACUGUGAUCAUCCUAAUACUGCAUCAACUAGUUAGGUGAAAAACAGCAACCUGCCAAAGGUGCCAAUGGGAAAAACAUUUACUGAGAAGGAGUACAAACAAAUAAUGGAGAUGUUAAACAGGGAUGUGCAAGAGACAAAACAAGUCAAAUAUGACAGGUAUUACUACUUGCUUAAUGACAAAUUCUAUUAUUCAAGAUUGGAUUGUUGAUUCAGGUGCAACUCAUCAUAUCAAUGCAAACAAACAAUUACUGACUAGGAGACAUGAAUUCACCAAGUCACAAAAGAAUCAAGUUCAUCUUCCAACAGGUGACAAGGUUACAGUUAGUCAUAUUGGUGAAACACCUAUAUUUGACAGUGAAGUGACUAGAAGUGUCUUGCAUGUACCAGAUUUCAAUUCAGUUUGUUAUCAGUGUCAAAGAUUACAAGGGAACUAAACUGCUUUGUAUCAUUUUAUCCUGACUUUUGUGUGUUUCAGGACCUCUGCAGUGGCAGGGUGAAGGGGAUUGGUAGAGAAGAAGGAGGAUUAUACAGUUUUAAGGCUGACUUUACAUCUAAACAGAAGGAGGAAAUAAGGUGUGCUCAGGAAAUAGUAGUUGCAGGAGCUAAAAUACACGACACAAAUCUAUGACACAGAAGGUUAGGACAUCCAUCUCAACAAAUAUUGAGACAUAUCGAAUUAUGUACAAGCAGUAAAGGUGAUGAAGUAUAUACACAUUGUCCUGUUUGUCCUUUAGCCAAGCAAACUAGACUUACUUUUCCUAUUAGUACUACUAGAGCAUCCAUGAUGUUUGAUGUUGUUCAUAUGGAUCUAUGGGGACCUUAUAAGACCCCUACUAUAGAUAGAAAGCAUUACUUCUUGACAGUAGUAGAUGACUAUAGUAGAUUUGUAUGGGUUCAUUUGUUGUAGUUAAAAUCUGAAACCAUUGUGGCUAUCAAAAAUUUAUUUUCAGUGAUUAAGACUCAGUUUGAUUCUCAUGUCAAAAUUGUGAGAUCUGACAAUGGCACAGAGUUUCUUAAUUCAAAAUGUAGAGAUUUGUUCAAUCAUCUAGGAGUAUUGCAUCAAAGUAGUUGUCCUCACACACCACAACAAAAUGGUGUGGUUAAGAGAAAGCACAUACACUUCUUUAAUAUUGCUAGAGCUAUCAGAUUCUAAGCUCAUUUGCCUAUCAGAUUUUGGGGUUAUUGCAUCAAGGUUGCAGUGUACUUAAUUAAUAGAUUACUUUCAUUAGCUAUUUCUAACAACAGUCCCUAUGAAUUACUUCAUUGUAAACAACCAAGUUUGUCUCAUCUAAGAGUCAUAAGUUGUCUUUGCCAUGCUACAACAGUGCCUAAAGGGGAUAAAUUCUCAGCAAGAGCUAAUGUUGCUAUUCUCUUAGGGUAUUCAGAACUACAUAAGGGUUAUAUAUUAUUGGACAUCCAUUAUACUAAGGUGUAUGCGAAUAGAGAUGUAUCUUUCAUGAAGAAGUUUUUCCAUUUUCUAAGGUGAUACCUCAACUUGAUUCCUCAGUUGUUGUGCAUGGUUCACCUUUAGAGAAAGUAGAAAGUCAAGUUGUUGAGGAUAAGAUUGAUAAUGAAGAUAAUAAGGAGCCUGCAGAUACUAUCACAGUCAAUGAAGAUAAUCAGAAUGUUCAAAUUGAGAAUUCUUGAGUAGAUCAGAUGCCUGAGCCUAGUCCAACAGUGGAAGUUUCUGAAAAUAUUCAUGCAGUACCAUCACAAGUUGACUCUCAUAUUAGAAGAAAUUCAAGAAGCACCAAAGAGGCAAUUUGGAUGAAAGAUUAUGUCAUUACUAAGAGACAUAGUAACACCAAACAUCCUAUGGAUAAUUUUCUAAAUUAUGACAAAUUAAAACCUGAGUACAGAAGUUUUGUAAGUAAGCUUUCAGAAUGUGUGGAACCUAAUAAUUUUAGUCAGGCUGCAAAAGAUGAAAGGUGGAUACAAGCUAUGCAGCAGGAAAUCAAAGCUCUUGAACAAAAUAAUACUUGGCUAGUGGUUGACUUACCAGAAGGCAUGCAUACAGUUGGUUCUAAGUGGAUAUAUAAAGUAAAAUACAAGGCAAAUGGUGAGAUAGAAAGGUUUAAAUCAAGACUCGUUUCAAAAGGAUACUGUCAGCAAGAAGGAUUGAUUACAAUGACACUUUUUCUCCAGUUGCCAAAAUGGUGACAGUCAGAUCUGUCAUUGCAUGAACACUAUCAAAAGGCUGGACAUUAUACCAAAUGGAUGUCUAUAAUGCUUUCUUGCAAGGUGAUUUAGAUUAAGAGGUCUAUAUGGAGAUACAUGAAGUUUUGCAAGACCAGGUGAAAACAAAGUAUACAAGUUACUCAAGUCUUUGUAUGGACUUAAACAAGCUUCAAGAUAAUGGAACCUAAAACUUACAAAGGCAUUACAAGCCAUAGGUUUUACUCAGAGUGCUCAUUAUUACUCAUUAUUCACACUAAAAAAGGGGAAGAUCUUGUCAUUGUUAUAGUCUAUGUAGAUUAUCUAUUGAUCACAGGAAGUAAAACACAAUUGAUUACAAAAGUUAAGGCAUGUCUACACAGACAGUUCAAAUUGAAGGAUCUAUGUGAACUUAAGUUCUUGUUAGGCAUUGAAGUAUUGAGGUCCUCUAAAGGAACUAUUUUGAAUCAAAGGAAAUAUAUAUUGGAACUUAUUGUUGAUGCAGGCCUGACCGGUGCCAAACCUGCAUCCACACCAAUGGAGUACAAUUUGAGAUUGACUUCAGUAGAGCAUGAUCAAGCAAAUGGCUACACUGCAGACGUUGUGCUGCAUGACAUUACUCCAUAUCAAAGAUUGGUUGGUAAAUUGUUGUAUGCUACUAUCACUAGACCAGAUAUAAGUUAUGCAGUGCAAACACUCAGCCAGUUCAUGCAAUCUCCCAAGAAAUCACAUAUGGAAGCAGCUACUAGAGUGAUUAGAUAUUUGAAAGGAUCAAUUGGUCAAGGUGUUUGGCUACAUUCUGAACCUGCUAACAUACUUACUUGUUGGUGUUAUUCUGAUUGGGCUGCUUGUCCUAACACAAGAAGAUCCAUCACAAGAUAUGUCAUUAAGUUUGGAGAGUCCUUAGUUUCUUGAAAAUCAAAACAAUCCGUUUCAAGAAGCUCAGCUGAAGCUGAGUACAAAAGUAUGGCUUCAACAGUCUCAAAAAUCACAUGGCUUCUAAGCUUGUUCAAAGAAUUAGGAGUGGAUGUUCAGUUACCUAUUAUUAUCUUCAGUGACAGCAAAUCAGCUAUACAGUUAGCAGAUAAUCCAGUGUUACAUGAAAGAACAAAACACAUUGAGAUAGAUUGUCAUUUUAUCCCGGAUAGGAUUAAAGCAGGCGAGGUUGACACUGCUUAUGUACAUACACAACAACAACUUGCAGACAUAUUGACAAAAAGAUUGAGUCAAGCUCAACAUGUGCAUCUUUUAGGCAAGCUUAGAGAGAUCAAUGUUAUGUACUCAUCAGCUUGAGGGGGCGUGUUAAAAACAGUUAAUGAAUAUUAGUUAGUUAAAUAACUAACAAUUCAAAAGUUAGUUAGUAGCUCUGUUUUGUAAUUUUCAGAUUACUAGUUAAAGUAGUUUGUUGCCUCGUUUAUCGUGCUAAUAAGAAUUAGUCGGUAGAUAUUUUGUACAUCCUUUCUCUGCUUCUGAUUGCUAUAUAAGAAGUGAAAGGAUUUCACAUGUAAGGAGUUUAACAGAUCAAUACAAAAUUUCCUCUUCUCUCAUCUUCAUGUUCUAGCUUUCUCUAUAAAGGUUCUUCAAUGGAGUUGUGAGCUUGAAUGCUUACUAGGUCCUUAAGAAUGAAAUGUGAAAUUGGUCCUUAAAUUGUUUCGCGAACAUUAUUGAACUAGUCCUUAGAAUGAUUUUGGGACCAUAUUUUUGGUUCAUGAUUAAAAUGAUUUCACAAUUAUUUAAAAUUGAAAAAAAAAAAUCACCUCACGCAUCUAUUUACGGGUUAAUAUAUUAUCUUUAUAUAUUUUUUUAACUAUUUAUAAAAUUUUAAUUACAAGUACUAAAAAUCAGGUUUAAUUUAUUAAUCAAUUAUAUUUAUCAAUUUAUAUAAUGUUAAUAGGUCAGAGAAAGAAAAUUUUAUGAGAGAGAAUACGUUUAUAAUUAUCAAGUACAUCUUUGAAGUGAUUAUUUAACCCAUCACUUGCGACACCCCACCCCCACUCCUACAUACACACGACGAUUUCUUUUUUAACCCACAUGAAUCUCACUUUCUCUUCCAACGUCUUCAUUGUUGUCCUCCUUAUUUAGAAGUGACACUUCUAAAGGACCAACAAUGUAUCAUGUUGUUGUACCCAAGGAAAUAGUAUUUGUACUAGCAAUUUCCUAAAAUUCACCAGGCGUACACCUUUUCUAGAUGGGUGUUUUAGUAUUCUUACUAGCUAUGUGGGAUACAACUGUUAUCCACCUCCAUUUUCAUUUAUUGUUACUGCAUAACCCUAUUGGACACAAUCCAAGGCGAAUUGUAAUAAAAGAGGGAUAUUUAGGUAUUUUACCUGCAAUUGCAGAGGUUCCAAAUGAGUUAAGUAAAUGUUAAACACGUGUUAUAUCGGAGUCAACAUUUUUCUUUCUUUACCCUCUUCUUCAUCUUCCUCAUUCUUCCUCUUCCUUUCCGAAUCCUCACAUCUCUCUCAAAUAAAAUUAUGUAGAAAAAUUCAAAUAAAUAAACCCAACAACUAUUGGAUGCUUCACAGAUUUAAGCUUACAUUGCAGAUGUUGCACCAGUUCCCCAUGUAAAACACAUUCAAUCUCUCUCACAUCAAAUGGCAGUUCCGAUCGAAAAAGCCACAACUGCACUAUCCAUAUUUUCUCUAGAGAUAACAAACUCUAUUAACACUGUUUUGAAAAUUCAAUUGUUUUUAGUGAGCAUGUUUUCCUAAUUGAUGAAUUUCUUCCUUUGUCGUUAUAAUUUCAGGAUGAUCAAGCAGAGGUACAAGGCUCGGUGUUUUGGGUUUCAGCUAAAAGAGGUGCAACUAUUAGUCCAAUCGGUAACAUAUCACUUUUACAUUUAUUUUAGGUUUUCGGUUCUAAUUCAGUUUUUCCUCCAUUUCUUUGUAAUUGGUAAUUCAGUUGCUUGAUCUUCCCUUUGAGCAAGUCCUUGUGAAUGUUCCUUGUAGGUCUUCCUUUCUGGAAGUAUAGCCCACCAUGAAAUCAAACUACCUCAAGUAGUAUCUUAACUACUUGAAAAGUGUUCAUUUUACUACUUUUAACGUUCCAAAAUGAAUUUGGCAGAGUACGGUAAUGUGGUUGCAUUUAGGUUUUAUUUAUCUGAAAACACUUAAGAUAUUAACUAAUUGGUAUGUGUUAAGAAAUUGUAUCAUCAUUAUGCUGCUGAAAUUGUUCACACAACACACUUACACAAGAGGGGAAGGAAAUGGGUUAUGUGCUCUACACAUAUAGAAAUUGAGUUAAAGCGCUUCGUCAGGUUAGUAAGGAAUUUCAACUUUUAACAGAAAAUAUUUUGAUCUCUUAAUGAGAUAAGGUUUUACAUUAUCAUUAUCUUUUACUUUGCGUCUAUGCUUUUUAUUUUUGUUUGUGCUGGUGAAAAUGAUUAUAACUGAAAAAGAGUGGGUCAGAUUCUGCAUUUCUUUAGUCAGAUUUUCCAUAUUGAUAGUUGGUGAUCCUUAAGGAUUCUUCAAGUCUAGAAGGGGUUUAAGGAUGGGUGAUCAUUUAUCCUAUAUCUCUUUGUCUUCGUGAUGAAAAUCCAAGCUUAACAUUCAAAAUGGUAGAGAGUUUGGGAUAGUUUAAGGGCCUAUGCAUUGGCAAGAAUGGAGAGGAAGAAAUUGUGCCUACGCUUUCUAUAUGCAUAUGAUACUUUACUUUUUUGUGAGGCAGAAAGAGACCAACUAUUGCAUUAAAGAAGGGUUUUAUUUAGUUUUCAAGCAAUAUCUUAGCUGAAAAUCUAUCUAAAAGCAUUAAUGCAAAAUUUUUGCAUUGAGGAAUUAGCUGGUAUUUUUUGAGUGUGAAAUGAAUAAGUUUCCUACAAUAUAUUUUUCAGUAGGGAUGAAGAAGAAAGUCAUACACGAGUAAUUGAUAGUUGUACAAAUAAGUUUGUUUCAGAUUUAUUUUUAUAUGUAUAGACAAUCCUCAACUUUAAUUAAUUCAUCAUCUUCAAGCUUUGAAUUUCGAGUAGCGAAUGAAGUUGGAGAAGGAAGACAAGGGAAGAAGGAGUGCUCAAUAUUUAGGUUUAGUCAUUUGUAUGCAAUGUACAUGUUUUAGUCAUAAAAAAAGACUCAUAAACAUGUAGUCCACAUGAGCGGAUAUAAUCUAACUUGUGUUUGAUGUUAGCUUGCAUUACAGAUGUUGCACCAGUUCCCAUAUGUUGACACAUUCAGGUAUUUGUUAUGUUGCUUAAGAUAUCUCAAUCGACACUGUCAACUUGCUUUUAAGCCUUACACCUAUUUAUACUAAAUCACCAAUUAUCUAACUUUGAUGAAAUUAGCAUUUUUGUGAACGAGCCCCCCGACAUUGUGUCUCCCCCUCCCUCGUUUGGCAUUUGGGUUCGUUGAGACGGAGAGUUCAUGGGAGUUGGAUCCGGGAUUCAUAUAGGUUGACCUUGAAUUACUAGCAUUGGUUGUCAGGGGAAAAACAGUGAGUAGAGUUUAUUAUGUCUAUUGGGUGAAGAAGGGAAUCUGCACCAUACUUUCCAUGUUUGAAAAACUGCUUAGAUGAUGGGGUAAAUUCCAAAGUGCUUGCAUGGUGCUGAAGAACUCCGGAGUUGCGGCUAGCGUAAGAAGAUCCAUUGCAUUGGUCACCCGCAUCUGGCUUACAAAGUUCUCCAUGGCUAACUUCAUUCCCUCCGUGACUAACUGCGCCAGAAAGUUUGAGUUUUGUAGAAUUAUUAUCGUCUUUACUCCAUUGAUGUCCAUGGAGAAGAGAGCUGCAUGGCCUGGGAGAGCUGUCUCCACCCAUGACUGGGGAUGAUGGAGAGGGUGAAUUGGUUGAGUGGCGAAUGGCGAAUACAAGGGGAGCUUAGAGGGUCUCUGGGGUAUUGGGGAGUAAGUAAGGAUUGCUCAUCGCAGAGAAUGGGUUUCUCGAUGAGCGAGAGAUGGGAAGGAGACGAACUUUCUGAUGAAUAGGAAUUGGAGCUCUGAACAUUCUUAAUAAGAUUUAUUUUGAUAUUAGAGUUAAGAGAGUUGGGAAAUUAUUGAGUAUCAACAAUGGAAGAUAUAAUAGACGGGGGAUUGGUCAUCAUUGGCGUGUCGAUAGCACAGGAAAAUUUUGGAAAAUUUGUAACGUUAUUAUCUAUAUCCACUUGUUCAGUUAUCUUAGCCAAGUGUAUAACCUGAGUAGGGGUACCCUUAGUAUUUAUGUCAACCCUACUAGUAUUAGGGGUAAAAUUAGAAUUUAAUAAUUUUUCUAAUUGAGAAGUCGACACGUCGUUGCAAUUUGUAGGAUGAAUUGAAAAGUUUUGCCUAGAGCAUGUCGCCUCAGAAUCUAGAGAGUCGGGAUCAUUAGUAGGGGUAAAGUAAUUGAAUCUUUUCUGAAUUCAUUAUUAAUAUUUUCUUCCUCCAUAUUUUUCAAGAUGUCAAAUUUGUUUAUCGAGGAACUGUCAAAAUUUUGCUUAUCAAUCCUUAGAAGAGUCUGAGAGUAGUUCUGAAUAACUGGGGAGUUUCUAAAAUUAUCAGAAUUUUGCAAAACAACAGUAGUAGCAAAUUGUUUAGGACUGGGGGAGCAUUGAUCAGAGGAAAUCAUGGGAACUAAAGAAUUUACCUAUUCCUGUAUACAUAAAUUUGACGUUUUUACCUGGGUUGCUUAUAUUAGCAGGGUCGAUUGCAUUCUUCGUAAGAUUUUGUAUUUGACGCUUUUUGCGAGGGAACUUUACUGUAAGCCAUUGACUUGACAUGGUGUCCUUCAGUGUACAAUGUUGUUUUCGACUUGUUUGAUAUACCAGUCACCAAAUGUUUCCCACUCUGUUCCUUUUUAUCGAAACUUAAUGAUGAGUUGUAGGGACAUAUAGGGAUAGUAUGUCCCAGUCUCCCACGGUUCUUGCAUAGGAAACCUUCUCCUUCUUAGGCAAUAUCCUGUUUAUGCCCUCCUAUUUGAAUGGAUGUAGUGACCGAUUCUUCCAUUGGAAUCUGUACACAUAGUCUUGCGUAUCUCCCUCGCAGAGUAGCACUUGUACAGGCAUCUAUUUUCACGAAUGUACCGAUAGAGUUGCCAAUACGUCUUAAUAGUAUACAAUCAUAAAACUCUAUAGGAAGUUGCGGUAGACGCACCCAAACAGCCGUGUAAGUUAAUUUGGAUUUUUCUGGGUUGAAAUUAGGAACCCAUCUUUGAAUUGAUAAGAAAUGACCAUUAAUGAACCACGGGCCAUUUUGCUGGACAUAAGAGCGUUAUCCUCGUCUGCUAGUUUUACCGUGAAAAAAUCUGACCUAGAUCAAUGAUUGAAAAAUUUUCGGGUAGCCGCCAGAGAGCUUGGAUUUUCUGCUUUUAAGUAUUGGUGGGCGAUUCUUUUAUCGAUAAGUUUAAUUAUGACAGAAUUUUUCCACGGGUCCCAGACCCUUUCACUUUCAUCCUGGGAAAGAGUAAUUGUUUUUAUAUUGCUAGAGAGGUUAUUCUCUGACAUGACUUCCUUAGGUACGUUUAAGGAAUUCAAAUAACUUGUAUUAUUGUAGUCAUACAUGUCUACGUCGGAGAUGUAUUAUCCUGCUAAUAAUUUUUCUUUAAAACUAUCUUUUCAGGAAGUAAGAACACAUUUAUCAGGGGGAAUUUGUGUUCUUGGUAAUUCUGGAGAAUUAGACAACAUGUGGGAGGGGGGUGAAGCUUGAAAAUAAAGCAGGGUAUUCUAGAGAGAAGCGAUAGAAACUAAUUUCUAGAGAUAUAAAGGAAUAACAAGUUUUCCCUUAAAAAGAACACUCAUUUAAUUGCAUCUUAUGUCUAUUAUUAAUUCAUUACUAUUAUUGAUUUGUUUGUUAAUAUAUAUUCCAUUCUUAUACCUUUUCUUAUUUUAACAGAUGUUAUAACCCAUCAUCGUUGAGUGUUAAAACUUGAAACAUAAUGAAUAAUGCCAUAACUAGUAAUAAUUGGUCUUACAUAUGUUAAUUUUAAAAAUUUCAUGUAAAGUUUUUGUUGGAAAUAAGUUACAUAAUUGAAUUGUUCAAAAUUCAAGAUGAAUAUUUGAUUAUUUUUUUUAUAUUUGUUUUUCCUUUCAUAAAGUUUUCUAAGUAUUUUCGAAAAGAUAAUUACAGUACUUAUGAAGUUAUAUUCAUGAUUUCACAAUGGGAAAUAAUGAAAAAAAAUUUAAAUUAUAUUGGCUUAAGUCAUCGGCAGCCACUUAAAGUUGUUCAUAUAAUUUACUUGAACACCUCAACCUAACCAUAUACCUAUUGAACAUUUCUACCAAUUUGAAUUUAAAUCAUUUGAACACUUUUUUGACAUCAGCUAAAAGUACGAAAUGUGUGUAACACACUCGCCAUGACGUGGCAAGCUAACAAAUUAAUGACAUACACGUGGCAAUUUGAGUUUAAAUAAUAAUUAAAUUUUAUUAAGAAAUCAAAAAGAAAAAAAUGGAAAAGGUUAUGUCCUCUAACCUUCGACCCUGCUACCUCCUCUAUUCAAAUUUCAAAGUGUUUCAUCCACCUAUUGUCGCCGCCUUCAGUUGUCAAUCCAUCAUCUUUAUUUUUAUUAAUUCAACUAAAAAUAAAUUCAAAUAUGUGGUCUACAGAAAAAGAAUAUUUGAAAUAACAAACUACGUACUCUUCUUUAGUUUCUUCAUUUUUCUUCUCUAAUGCAAAAGAAAGUUAAAGGAAAUUCAACCAUUAAUGGUGGAAUGGAAGUGUUUGUGCAGAGAUUUUCUAACUCCAAAUAAGAGGUUCUGAAACUAUUUGUUUAAAGUUCAUCGAUUUAUUCAUUUCUAUUCCUUUUCUCAUCAAGUUAAUGGUGGAAUUUUUUUUUUUGGAAGAAAUUACUUGAAGAAUUUAAAAAUUGUUUGAUUUGAGCUUAACAGAAAAGAGAAGAAUUGGUGGUGGUGGCGCUAGCGCGGUGGAAAUGGUGCCAGCGAGGUGCACGGUUGAACUGAUAAUGGUGUAGCCCUGUAGGAAGAAGAUAUGGUCAAAGAAAAAAGGAAAAUAAAGAGGUACAUUUUUGAAGAAGAUAUGUUCACGCGCUAAGUAACGGUGUUAUACACUUUUCGUGCCAUGUCAUCGAAAGGUGUUCAAUAGGUACUUAUUUUGAAUAACUUAUAUGUUCAAUAGGUACAACUAUUAGUUAAAGUAUCUAAGUGAAUUAUGCGGACAACUUUAAGUGGCUGCCAAUCACUUAAGUCAAUUAUAUUCAUAAAUAUUUCUCUUAAUAUGUAUACAUUGUCUCAUAAAUUCACUUUUUAUGGAAUAGAGGAAGUACUUCUCAA